This 253-nucleotide ribosomal RNA is filed under the name uncultured bacterium. Its description in RNAcentral is "partial 16S ribosomal RNA". It matches the Rfam family "Bacterial small subunit ribosomal RNA", at positions 524 to 776 of the family's 1533-position model. The record is from RNAcentral.
GACGUAGGGGACGAGCGUUGUCCGGAUUCAUUGGGCGUAAAGCGCGCGUAGGCGGCUUUGUAAGUUAGAGGUGAAAGCCCAGGGCUCAACCCUGGAAUUGCCUUUAAGACUGCAUCGCUUGAAUCAUGGAGAGGUGAGUGGAAUUCCGAGUGUAGAGGUGAAAUUCGUAGAUAUUCGGAAGAACACCAGUGGCGAAGGCGACUCACUGGACAUGUAUUGACGCUGAGGUGCGAAAGCGUGGGGAGCAAACAGG